UGAAGCGGCAACAGCUCAAAUUUGAAAGCUGGCCCCCCCGGGGGUCCGCGUUGUAAUUUGUAGAGGAUGAUUCGGCGAGGGCUCCCGCCUAAGUCCCCUGGAACGGGGCGUCAUAGAGGGUGAGAAUCCCGUAUGCGGUGGGCUGCCUUAGCCACGUGAAUCUCCUUCGACGAGUCGAGUUGUUUGGGAAUGCAGCUCUAAAUGGGAGGUAAAUUUCUUCUAAAGCUAAAUACCGGCCAGAGACCGAUAGCGCACAAGUAGAGUGAUCGAAAGAUGAAAAGCACUUUGGAAAGAGAGUUAAAAAGUACGUGAAAUUGUUGAAAGGGAAGCGCUUGCAGCCAGACUUGUCCGCAGUUGCUCAGCCGGUCUCCUGACCGGCGCACUCUUCUGCGGCCAGGCCAGCAUCAGUUCGGGCGGUCGGAUAAAGGCCCCGGGAACGUAGCUCCUCUCGGGGAGUGUUAUAGCCCGGGGUGGAAUGCGGCCAGCCCGGACUGAGGAUCUCGCUUCGGCUAGGAUGCUGGCGUAAUGGCUGUAAGCGGCCCGUCUUGAAACACGGACCAAGGAGUCUAACAUCUAUGCGAGUGUUUGGGUGUCAAACCCAUGCGCGUAAUGAAAGUGAACGGAGGUGGGAACCCUCGCGGGUGCACCAUCGACCGAUCCUGAUGUCUUCGGAUGGAUUU
RNAcentral lists this ribosomal RNA (680 nucleotides) under Neoscytalidium novaehollandiae. RNAcentral describes it as "partial large subunit ribosomal RNA". It matches the Rfam family "Eukaryotic large subunit ribosomal RNA", at positions 94 to 791 of the family's 3401-position model. The record is from RNAcentral. Lineage: Eukaryota; Fungi; Ascomycota; Dothideomycetes; Botryosphaeriales; Botryosphaeriaceae.